Molecule: long non-coding RNA, 1244 nt
Filed under: Monodelphis domestica (gray short-tailed opossum)
Lineage: Eukaryota; Metazoa; Chordata; Mammalia; Didelphimorphia; Didelphidae
Description: lncRNA (ENSMODG00000033805.2)
Source: RNAcentral
CUCAAUCUGGUUUAGCAUUUGAUGGUUUUAUUGGGGUGUGGCCACUGUGCAUGCCACAUAUUUAUGGUGUCACAGGUGACAAUAGGGUGAUGGUGUUAAUGAGGACUUUGAGAAAUACAGGAUGGAUCAGCUGAAAACCAAAAGGCUUGGAACUUUGGCAACUGCCAAUCAACGGAGAUGGAGUCACAGUUCCAUGGAAUCUUAAAGGAAGCAGUUGGGCAGCUUGAGCUGUUUUGAAACUCACUUCUCUUCUGACUGUUGGGAAGAAGGUAGAAGCUGGACUCCCUCUCUUGGUCAAUGAUUAUUUAUCUGACUGAGUACUGAGAGGACUUUUGGAACUUGAGCUAAGCUCCAAAGAAGAAAGAUGAAGAAACUCUGCCAGCCAUUUGCUAUCACCAUCUCCCCUUAGAGAAAAAUAAUUUUAUUUCCUGAGUUGAACACAUUGAGAAAUCUCUAAUCAACAGGGAAAUAUAGGAAUUUAGGGAAACCUAUUUUCUUCUCUUCACCUCCUAUCUCCCUACCUCCUUUACCUUAAAGAAUAAAACCUCUUAGUUAAAGAAUUUGAGGGAUCCACAAAAGUGGAAAUACUGAGCUAAGAUAUUAAGUAACCCAAACAUCCUGGAGGACAGUAAUGGCAUAAUACCUGAAGAGCAGUUCAAAGUCUUUCAUCCAUUCUACAAGGAUCUGCCUAAUUGAUUGAAAAAGGUUCAUCACCAGAAGCAUAUCCAUUUGGGUGAAGGGGACAUAUUCCCAACUACUUAUGAUGACUAUGUUUACAGGAGUGAAGGAGUUGCAGCCCAUUGCCCAUGUGGCAGCCCUGAUAUUGAACAGCUGGACAGAUUGCACCCUGGAGCCACAUCUGCAGCUAUAUACAUCAACACCACUUUCAUUGCUUUGGUGCUGAAGAAGUUUAACUUCUGUCAGUGAGAUUUACUACCUUUUUCAUGAAUUGUUAAGAGUUUUUUCCUCCUCAACAUACACUUUUCCAUCUCUCUUACCUUAUUUGGUUCUCCAAUCAUGUUAGUAUUAUCUGAUACUUAAUGUAAACAGCUUGUUAUUUAACCUAUUUAUUUAACCCUUCUUAUGGUUAAUUAGGAUUUGAAGGAGGUCUCAUAAAGAAACAUUAAAUGCUAAAAUGAGUGACAUAAGUUAAAAAAGGGAAAGAUUCAAUAGUUAAAUAGACAAUAAGAGGAUAAAUCAGAGAUAUAGAAUCAAAGAGACCAUUAGAGUCUUUUCCCUUUUUC